UACGUAGGUGGCAAGCGUUGUCCGGAUUUACUGGGCGUAAAGAGCGCGCAGGCGGUCGUCCAAGUCGCGUGUGAAAGCCCCCGGCUCAACUGGGGAGGGUCACGCGAUACUGGUCGACUCGAAGGCAGGAGAGGGUAGUGGAAUUCCCGGUGUAGUGGUGAAAUGCGUAGAUAUCGGGAGGAACACCAGUGGCGAAGGCGACUACCUGGCCUGUUUCUUGACGCUGAGGCGCGAAAGCUAGGGGAGCAAACGGG
RNAcentral lists this ribosomal RNA (254 nucleotides) under uncultured bacterium. Its description in RNAcentral is "partial 16S ribosomal RNA". It matches the Rfam family "Bacterial small subunit ribosomal RNA", at positions 524 to 776 of the family's 1533-position model. The record is from RNAcentral.